AUUGAACGCUGGCGGCAGGCCUAACACAUGCAAGUCGAGCGGAUGAAGGGAGCUUUCUCCUGGAUUCAGCUGCGGACGGGUGAGUAAUGCCUAGGAAUCUGCCUGGUAGUUGGGGAUAACGUCCGUAAACGGGCCCUAAUACCGCAUACGUCCUUAUGUAGAAAGUGGGGGAUCUUCGGACCUCACGCUAUCAGAUGAGCCUAGGUCGGAUUAGCUAGUUGGUGUGGUAAAGUCCUACCAAGGCGACUGUCCGUAACUGGUCUGAGAGGAUGAUCAGUCACACUGGAACUGGGACACGGUCCAGACUCCUAAGGGAGGCAGCAGUGGGGAAUAUUGGACCAUGGGCGAAAGCCUGAUCCAGCCAUGCCGCGUGUGUGAAGAAGGUCUUCGGAUUGUAAAGCACUUUAAGUUGGGAGGAAGGGAAGUAAGUUAAUACCUUGCUGUUUUGACGUUACCAACAGAAUAAGCACCGGCUAACUUCGUG
This 484-nucleotide ribosomal RNA is filed under the name uncultured bacterium. RNAcentral's name for it is "partial 16S ribosomal RNA". It matches the Rfam family "Bacterial small subunit ribosomal RNA", at positions 30 to 507 of the family's 1533-position model. The record is from RNAcentral.